AUUCAACGCUGGCGGCAUGCUUUACACAUGCAAGUCGAACGGCAGCGCGGGCUUCGGCCUGGCGGCGAGUGGCGAACGGGUGAGUAAUACAUCGGAACGUGCCCAGUAGUGGGGGAUAGCUCGGCGAAAGCCGGAUUAAUACCGCAUACGACCUGAGGGUGAAAGCGGGGGAUCUUCGGACCUCGCGCUAUUGGAGCGGCCGAUGGCAGAUUAGCUAGUUGGUGGGGUAAAGGCCUACCAAGGCGACGAUCUGUAGCUGGUCUGAGAGGACGACCAGCCACACUGAGACUGAGACACGGCCCAGACUCCUACGGGAGGCAGCAGUGGGGAAUUUUGGACGAUGGGAGAAAGCCUGAUCAAGCAAUGCCGCGUGUGUGAUGAAGGCCUUCGGGUUGUAAAGCACUUUUGGCGGGAACGAAAAUGACUGUGCCAAUACCACGGUUCGAUGACGGUACCCGCAGAAUAAGCACCGGCUAACUACGUG
RNAcentral lists this ribosomal RNA (484 nucleotides) under uncultured bacterium. RNAcentral describes it as "partial 16S ribosomal RNA". It matches the Rfam family "Bacterial small subunit ribosomal RNA", at positions 32 to 507 of the family's 1533-position model. The record is from RNAcentral.